RNAcentral lists this long non-coding RNA (3312 nucleotides) under Piliocolobus tephrosceles (Ugandan red Colobus). RNAcentral describes it as "lncRNA (ENSPTEG00000004969.1)". Lineage: Eukaryota; Metazoa; Chordata; Mammalia; Primates; Cercopithecidae. The record is from RNAcentral.
AUAAAAUAAAAUAAACAGUGUAAUGUCAAAGACGUGGGUCGAGAAAGGUGCUGGGGAAAACUGUGUAAGUGGAGGAGGAGCGUUGUCGAAACAAAUAAACAAUGAUAUUGAACUAUUACGAAAAACUAACAAUGGUUUAUUACUCGAUAGUAGAAGUAAGAACAUUUUUACUGAGUCGUUAAGAAUCAAUAAUAGUACCACCAAUAGUAUAAAAACGAAUGGUUAUAAUAGUAGUAUUAAUAAUAACAAAAUAAACAAUAACAAAGUAAAUAAUGGCAGUGGUAGUGGUAGUGGUAGUAAUGUAUUGCUUAACAAAUAUAAUAGUAGAAAAAAUAUAAAUGUCAUGAAGAAUAUUUCAACUAAUAAUAGUAAAUCUUUAAAAAAUACAUGGAAUACUCAUGUGAUAAAGUCAUCUGAUUUAUUUAAUGAUAGUAUGUCAAAUAAGUUAAUGUAUAAAUCUAUAAAUUUGAUGAACACAAAUGAUACUAUAGUAAGCAAUAGAACAACCGAAAUGUAUGAUAAGAAUAUCAUGCACAAAAACAAAUAUAAAGCUAUACAACGUUUAAACAGUAACAGUGGUAAAAAAUUCAGCAAUACUACUAUAUACAAUGAUAGUUUUAAUUUAAAUUAUAAAAGUACUUUAUACCAUAAGAGUGGCAAUAUAAGUAACUAUCAUACAAAAAAAAGUGGAAUUACUACUACAAUAGAUGGUUUGAAAGAUAAAGAGGAAUACUACCAUACGAGAUCAAGUGUGAAUAGUAUAAUUUGUGCAGAUGGAUUAGAUGGUAAAUGUAUGUCGAGUAACACGAACGGUGGAAAUCAGGAAGUGGAAAAAUGGACAAAAGAUGGUAGCAAUGGAGGUAGUAGUGAUAAUAGCAGUGCAAUUACAAACGAUAUAAGCCAAAUAAAAGAAUCCAUUAUUAAAGACAUCCCUCGUAUUAUAAAAGAAACCACUAACACAAUUUUUCCAAAAGGUGUAGAUGCACAAGUUCAGAAUGCGUUUGAAAAAAAUAUAAUGAAUUGUAUUGUAGAUAAAGUAGCUGGUUUUAUGGAAAAAAAUGUAAAUGAAUUGAAUAGUAAUAUAAUAUAUGACAAAAUAAAUGAUAGUAUGAACAAUGAAAUAAAAAAAAAUAUUGAUGUUAUAUAUAGUAGUGUAAAAAGUAAUGUAAAUAAAAGUUUAACAGAUGAACUUGAAAAAAAUGUUAACUUUUUAAAUAUUAAUUUAAAUAAAAAUAUAAACAAAGAAAUAAAAAAUAAUAUAGAAGAAAUAUAUACAAAAGUAAAUGAAAAUGUAGAAGGAAAAUUAAAUACCAAAUUUUUUAAAGACAUGGGAAAUAAUAUAGAAAGUGUUUUAAUGAAAAAUGUAAAUGAUGAGUUAAAAAGAAAAAUGGAUAUUGUGAAAAAACAAUUGAAUGAUAAAUCUAAUGAAAAUAUUAAUAAAGAAUUAUUAAAAAAUAUACAUAUUUUAAAUGAAAACAUAAAUCAAAAUAUAAGUCAGGAAGUAAAAACAAAUAUGACAAUAAUCAAUCGUAAUAUUGAAGAAUACUUAGAAGAUUCAAUGGACAAAAACACACAUAUAUUAGUUAAAAAUAUUAGUGAAAAUUUAUAUGAAGAAGUAAAAAAUAAUAUAAAUUUAAUAGAAAAAAAUAUAGAGGUUAAUUUUAAUGAUUAUUUUUUGCAGUGUAAUUUUAAAAAAAUAGUACAAGAUGCAAGUUUUGACUUAGUAGAACAAAUUAAAGAACUAUUUAUUCUUUCGCAACCAUCAACACAGGGGAAUUUCAAAAAUGGUAUUACUAAUGAAGUGGUAAAUAGUAUAACAGACGAGUUAAAGAGUUGUAUCACAUCUGCUAUAACUAACGACGUAACAAAUAAACUGAAAAAUGGUAUUACCGAAGAGUUAGUAAACGUGACAAAUGUAAUAAAAGGCGAAAUUAUUAACGAAAUACAAACAAAAUUUACUGUUUUGAAUCAACAUAAUUCGAAUUCUGAAAAAGAAAGAACAGAAGACGUUAUACAAAAAAUAACCAAUCUUCAAACAGAGCUACACAAUUAUCAAAACAUGAAUGUAAAUGACAAAAUAGAUAAAAAUUUUUUGAGGAUGCAAGAAAAUGUUAAAGAAAUGAUAAGCGAUUGUAUUACUACUAUCACUGCUAAUAAUGAUAUAAAAAGGAAUAAUGAUAAUGGAACAUAUGAAAUAGUAAUUAACAAAUUAAAUGAACAUUUUGAAAUGUUAACAAAGAAAAUGUUAUCUAACAUGACUAAAAAUGAAACACAAAUAACAAAUAAAGGUAGUAAUAAUAGUAAUAAUAAUAAUAAUAAUAGUAAUAAUAAUAAUAAUAAUAAUAAUGAUUACAAAAGAUGUAUAAACGGUUUGAAAGAAUAUUUAAAUUUAUUUGAAAAAAGAAUAAAUAGCACUCUUGAAAAUAAUACUAAUUCGUUGAUAAAUAUAUGUGAAAAUGUUAUGAAUGGUUCAGAAAAUAAUAAUGACAAUCAUAAUAAUGAUAAUAUACUGGGAAUAAUAAACAAAGUAACUGAAAAAUGUGAAAAACGUUUAUAUGAACAAAUCCAAAAUGUCGAGAAAACACAAAAAAAAAUAGAUACAAACUUUAACAAUAUUCAGGAAAAACAUAGCAAAAUUGUCAUAAAUGAAUUAAAAAAUACAAUAAAUGAAACAACAAAAAAUUUAGUUGAAAAUACAACGAAGGAUAAAAACAGUCGCAUUCUUAUUGACCAAGUUAUUGAAACUAUAAACGAACGGAUUGGAAAAAAUGCAAAUCCAACACAUCAAUUGGUCAGCCAAAUGAAUGACAAUUUGUUGAUCAUUUUGUCGGAAGUCAUGAAGCAGAGGGGUAGUAGUAAUAGUGGCAGCGGAAGCGGAAGCGGAAGUAGUAGCAACAACAGCAAUAACACCAUCAGUGGUAACGAAAAACUACCUUUAAAUAUACACAAGUCUGUAAUAAACUAUAAAAACAAAGAUGCUAAAUUAACAGAAUUAAAAAGUGUAUAUAAUACCAUGGUCGAUAAGAUUAAAUGUCAAAAAGAGACAACCACUUUUAAAGAACAUUUUAAUAAAAAUAAAAACAAUCAAUGUGGUUAUAACAAAGAUAUUAGUCAUAAUAGUAACACCAAAAAACAAAUAACAAGGAACAAACAUAUGAAACAAAACAAAAGAAUUGUCGUAUCUAAUUUGACUAAUAACCCUGUUAAUAACAAAAAAGCACUAUAUGUAGUUAACUACAUGAAGAAUGAAAAAAAUGAACUCAUCGAAGUUUCAGAGUGGGGUAAACACAAAAAAAUUAGAAAAAUAUUUUU